Gasterosteus aculeatus aculeatus (three-spined stickleback) is the source of this 12699-nucleotide long non-coding RNA. NCBI's taxonomy places the organism in Eukaryota, Metazoa, Chordata, Actinopteri, Perciformes, Gasterosteidae. The record is from Ensembl.
UGGGCUUGAGAGCUGAGCAGAUGUCGUGCUGAUGUGAAGACGAGGAAAACAAACGGAUGGAACGAGGCUGUGACAGGAAGACUCUUCGACUCCUGCUGACAAAAUAACAGGGCCAAGGUGGUGUGUUUAGCUACAGUGUUAAUACUUUAAGUGCUUUCUUGUGUUUGUUGUAGGCUGCAGUUGGCUUUAUAAGAUUUUAUGGGACGCCUAUUGCCCGGAAUGAACAGCAGCCAAGCAGAAAGGCGGGAAUGCAUGCAGAGCUGAGGCUUGUAAGUUAUUCAUUCAGGUUGAUUUUGGAUCAGUGUCUCAGACAGGAUGUGCAUUUAUAUUAAGCAACAGCAUAAAGAGACGCAUUUGGAGGUUCUUCAGUGAAUAAAAUAUGGAUUCGACUUAAAACUAUGCUUCCUUAUUUUUAGCUUAAAAACCAAAGAAGUGUAGCUGUAGUUGAAUAAUUUAUUAAUUAUUAUUUACAGAUAUUGCAGCCUUUGUCUGAUCAUAAAAAUUAUUUUGAUUAAUAAUCAUAUUCUGUUAAUCAAAAGAUGCACAAUUGUUCUAAAUAAUGUCCCAUCAAUUCUAUCUGUUCACAUAUUUUUUUUAAAGAGUCAUCAAUAAAUUACAGUUUCCUCGUGAUGGCUCGUCCAGAUGCUCUCUGCAUUGUUUUAAUGUUCAUAUUUCAAGGCGCGGCACAAAGAUACCGCAGUUGCCCAGUUAUGAAUCAGAAUUCUGAAUUCCUCUGAAAAACUUGAUGUGGAGUUGGCAGAAAAGAGGGACAGAAUCCAGUGAGAAGUAAAAAUGUAUGAGAACUUUCAAAAUAUUGAUGGACAAACUUUUUAUGGGAUCAAGGAAAUCAGAAAAUAAUAGUUGCCACAUUCAGAGGCGGAUAUUCCUUAGUAAGCAAAAGUUGAGUCUGUUUUUAGACCAUAUAUUAGCUUUAAAGUGAGAAGAUGGGAAAUUUCCUCCAAUUUUCAAUAAUUCAUGUUUUAGCUAAUACCAAAUUGGUAAUCGUCAUUUCUGGUUCCGUAAAAUAAAGAUGGGGCAAGAUCACAACCCACAAUCUGUUUUGCUCGAUACACUACCAGCAUAACACCCCACAUUACGGGCUUUUAGUGUGUCAUAUUCUUCAAAUUAACGACAGCACCUGGGUGUCCCGGCAAAGUGCGUCGCUUCAGGCUGCAGAGUAGAGAAGGUAAGUAACUUUGAUUAAAAUAUGUACCUGAAGGCAGGAGCAUGGCGUAUGGGAUUGACAAUAAUACUCCUCUUCAUCACAAUGAAAGAAAAUGUCCCCCAAUGCCACCGUGUGCCUCACUAAUAGGUUUUUAAUGGUUACAGGGAGACAAUGGCGGUCUAAGACAUGGAGAGCAAUAACCCUCAAGUAGCACUAGUUUAUAGGUUUGUUUUGGUCUUUGCAUGUCAUUUUCUUGGAGAAUAUGAGAGUCACCCUUAACAUUAACCGCUGCAAAAAAACUAGACCAGCUCUAGUCUUCGUGUACGGUGGUAGUUAUGGAGGUACUUGUUCUCUACUUGGACCCGAGGUUUCAUUUUUAAAAUGCAUGAUUUGAUGCCUUCGGGCAGCUAUUCCCUCCGCCGUCCGCUUUCAUCCGCUCCUCUCUGGUGCCAGGUUGGAAAGUGACGGCUCCAAAGCCCGCCGCUGCUCACAGCGUGUAUUGUAGGAACUCAGCAGACAUGCAGAUAUCACCUGCAUGCAUUUGCAAACACGCGCUUUUUCAUCCCCUGCCGACGUAAAGUCAGAAGCAGGGUCGGUAACGGCCGGAUUCGCGGGUCCAAACAUCAAGGAAGAAAGUGUGCAGAUUUUGCAUUAGAGUUUCUUUCUACCUUUUUCACCAGUAAAGAAAUAUCAAAGCACCCACGGUUAAUCUCAACACACCCUCACAACCGGUUAAAGCCACGAAACACACACAAGAAGAACAUGGUAUUGAUCAUCUCCGGGAGAGAACGUCCACGGCGAAAAGAAACAAGGUUUGAGAAUGAACUCGGAAACAUCUCAGGAUAAAAAAGGAGCCAACCCCUCCCGUCCCUGGUGCUUCAUCAAUUAUGCAGGCAGCUGAUGGCGUUCUCGGUACGGCACGCGGUGAAGCAGUAAGAGCAGCAGGAGACAGCGCUCCCAUUAUCUGAAGGCACGGAGGUUAACAGCAGCAAAAACAACAGCGCGAGCCGUUAUUAAAUCAACACACACACAUGGUGUUCGUUAAUCACCACCACGCCGUAUCAAUGGUUUAUGAAUAAACCAUCCCAUUCUAUACUUUGUUUUGAAAAAUGUACACUUCACCCAUGAAAGCUGAUGUUCUUCGUAACUCUGCGCUGUGUAAUGAUAGUAAUUCUCCCGUGUGCAUGAUUGGCUAAUUGUCGUGCAUCGUUUGGUCAUUUGAAAGGGACUAAAAUGAGAGGAUAUAAAACAUUCAGCAUGUGGUGGUAUAAACUCAGGCGCUUGUGAAUUAACCAACCUUUUUCCUUUUUGAUCAAACUGCCCAGCAAAGAGGUACUCAAAUUGUUUGCCAACCAGCGGCGAUUUUAAUGUGAUGUUUACAGAAAUGCAUCAAUAAUCAGUUUAAUCUAAUGCUGAUCCCAGUGGACACAUCCGCUGCAGGGGAAAUGGUCAGGCUGACUUUAAUUCUACCACUUACAACCUAUUUAAAACGCCUACAUUGGUCCAUGAUUCACUUUUUUUUUUUUUUAUAUUCUAAGGACAUAACUCGGUGACGUCAGAGUCUUUCAGCCUCUACGUGAUAAUUAUACCCGGGUACAUCCCCUGAUUGGACUGUUCUCGUCUUUUUUUAACUUCGAAUCCUAAUAGAAAUCAGACUUCCUCCGUCAAAAGUCUACCAGGGGCGAUGUCGGGCUCCAACAAGAAAUCAAACAAUUCACCAGGCAUACCAAUGCGGUCGUGCUAUAUAUGUAUUUUUUUUUAGUUCCGUGAGUUUUAUGCCGUGGAAAAUCCCCGCUGCGCGAGCGCUGCAGCACUUCCCUGUUAGGUGGCACAGUCUGUCGCCUGUGUGAACCUCCUGAUCAAAGCUCCAGCAGAAUAAGGCUCAACACAGCGGGGCCAGAUCCCCUCUGCACCGCUGUAACAAGACUCGAACACCGGCGGCAAUAACUUUGCAGUCAUGGCGAUUCUCCUGCAAGCAACCAGAUUGUCAUACGGCAUGAAAAUAGACUGAGGGACGCGUUUGUGGAGACGCAAACAUGUGAACCAAAUGUCGUUAAUCUUCAAUAACUUCACAUAAGCUCUCAUAAAAGCUUGUUGGCAGCGUGACUUGCUCGAACUCCGUACUCUUUACUCGCCUGAUUCCAUUGUAAAUCCUUGAUUGUAGACCCUCUGAUGGGGCGUAAUCACGUCUCGUGCAUGCCUGUUUAGGGAGUCCCGACGCUUUUUUUUUGUUGUUAUUGGAUUCACUUUGAGCCAGCAGGUUGAGUUUAAACACAACUAAAGACAAUAGGACGGGAAAACUCAUUAAGGGGAAGGCUCUAAAUAGGCCUGAUGAAUGAGAACCGCGUUGUAUAUCACGGGGGACGACGCGCCAGCUGUGGCCCGACAGCUUUGUGAAUUCCACGAGGCUAAUGCAAUCAAAGCUGUCGAGAGUCACGUCGGCGGGUUGAAACCAGACAAGCUGCCUGUUCUAUUGGAACAGCCCGAGAGUGUUGAGGCUGCUGCUCUUAUUAAGGCAAUGAAGGCAAGGGAGCAUGGCUUUUUCUUUCUCUUAGAAGAGUGUUUCAAUAUUUCAUCACAGUUCUUUUUUUGAAAGCAAGAAGAUACCAGAUAUUUCUCUUUACGUUUUUUGACCAUGAGAAAAAUGUAUAAUCCUGCGAGCUAUUGUUCUGAGAAAGCCGCAGAAGUGAUUGGGCCGUCUUAAGUCUCGUCUUUUCAGAAAGCUUUUAACCCCGGUGAUUAGCCUCUGUCGGCUCCUUCAAGUCUCUUUGUGACACCUCUUUGGGCUUUUUAUCGUCCGUUUGUUUCUUUUCUUUUUGGAGGCUGGGAGCAGAAAAAAAGGAAAAAAUCAUCAUUAGCUCCGCGCCUUAUCUACUCUUUAUUUUACCCUUGUUGAUGAGCCUUGUCGCUGGGAUUUAGCUGAUAAUGAUUGGUGCGGCGGUGUAAGCUUAAUGGCUUCUCUUUAUCUGAAAAGGCUUUGAUUCCUCAUUGUUGUUGCUUAGCAGACAAUUAAGGGGCGAAGGCCUUAUUGGGGAUGGAUUUCUAUGAAUGUUUUCAUAAGUGCCCUGCUGAGCUGAAGCGCUGAUUGAAAAUAAGACAUUUGGUUAAUGAAACCCUGUCAAACCGUUUCAAUGAGAACUAAGAACCCUUUGCCGAAAGAUACAGAAUUAAUUCAGCUUUGAUUGUAGGCUAGAAAAAGGUGCGACGGAGUUCAGUGUGAAAACGUCCACAGUCACAGAGGACGAUGUAAAGAGAAUCAGAACUGUUUAUCACAGGUUUGCGUAUUUGGCAAAUAUGUUGUACAAAAGGAUUUCUUGCAAUAAAUACAGAUAUAUAUGUAAUGUAAAAUCUGAUAUCCGGCAUAAAGUGUUAUUUAUUAAACAAUUGUGAGCAUGUUUUACUCUCUAAAUAGUAACUUAACGGUACACAUUUUAUUAUUGGUUGCGGGUAGUAGCAGCAGGUGUACAAUUUAGAUAAUGUUUAUUUAAUUUGCACGUGAUUUUGAGUAAAUGACCACAUUUAGUGUUGCAAAUAGCUUGUGUGGGCCUUAAUUGCUGAACUAAUUCUAGUUCUAAUUAGGAAGUGUGGGCUUAUUUGUCACUGUGUACUUGACUGGAGCUUGUCAUGUCCUGACGGAUGCUAAUUGAUGUUUAUACCCUUGAUCUGUUUGUACCGCAGCACUUGCGUCUAUAAACAGUGCAGGUUCUGUUCCAUCUGUCUUCAUUGCAGUUCACAGUGCGGCACAUUCUGAUUUAAUCAAUUCAGUGGAUGUAAAAUUAAAUCUAAGCUAUAGAUAAGCUUUUAGCGCCUUUGUAGUCGCGGUGAGAUUCUUCUUUCCACUCCAUGCUAACGUUUUUGGUGAAGUAAGAUUUCCGUGCUGAUGGAGCAGGACGGGGCGGCAGCAUUAUGGCCGUUGAUUGUACUAUUGAUCAAAACCCACAAACAAUCCCUUCUCAUGACCAGUUGACCUUCAUCAUGCUGAAACAAGACGUGUAUUUGUAGUUAAGGGAAUUGGAUUAAUUCACAAUAUUUCUGUCUUUGUGAGUUCCAGUUUUUUUUUUGUUGCCGGCAGCUGUAGAACUGCAAGUUUUUUCUGUCCAAUACCGUUAUCUACAGCAAAUGAUUAUGACAUUUACUUUACCUCAAAAUGUGGCCGUCCUUCAUUAGAGCAGCCAGGCAACCAAGUGACAGGCGGGUGUGCAGCUCGGAGAAUGAACCCCAGUGUGGUUAACCGAUCCGCUGUGGACAAAGAUUCAGUUCUGUGAUGCUGACUGACUCUUCCCUUCUUACUAAUUCCACCACUACUGGAGCAGUAGCACAGAAUUGUUGUGUUUUAUUUAAGCCACUGCACCAAGCACCUUUACUUAAGUGUGAGGUUGUCAAGAGAAUAUUAGAGAUGCCAUGGUUGACCUUCGUAUUACCACUCAGCCAUCCGGCGCUUCCUGGAGUAGCAUCCUCAUUUUCUUCAGGCGGUCUCGACAGUGUUCUUUGCCCACAGAAAAUCUCUAUAAUUUUGCACAAAUUGUACAGUUUUUGUUUUGCAUGCGUUUAUAGAGAGAUUGUUUUUGCAGCUCCAUCUGAACUGGACAGUUGUGUAGUUCGCCUGCUUGCGUUGUCUCACGUGGGUUUGUCACACCAUGUCACAUGAUUUUGCAAGUGCACUCGGGCCCGGGUUGAUGAACCGUGUUAAGAGUAAUCAAGCGAAACUGGACUUCGGGGUCAAGACAAGUCUCACCUGGGCCAGUGAUACCAGAAUGGAGGAGCACCGUCUGCCUCCCAAUACACCGUGUGGGUAAAGAAGGAAGUACAGUAUGACAGAUCAUAUGUAGUAGUUUUGGUACACCCGUGCUGAGGAGCGGAUAGCCCUGCCACUGCGUCUGAGUCGGGUGUCUGCAGAAACUCAAUUUCUCAGUUGAUGAUCUGACCUCUGCGUCGUCUUGGCUAAUUAAAAAAGCAGCGGCGGAAGCCUGCGAGGACUUGGCUUUCAUUAUUCGGUUUGACAGCUCUGGAUUAAAACACAUUUCAAAAAGGUUUGACCCCACCCAUCCCCUCUCCUCUCUCCUCUCUCCGCCUGCCUCUGAGUAAGGGCAUGGCAAUUUACCAGAACACCCCGAACGAUUUAUCUCUAAUAAUGUUGAACACACAGAGCUGUCAUUGUUCAAAACACUCACUUGCUGCAACAGUGUAAUUAUGGCCUCUCAGCCGAGGCAGAAACAAGUACAUAACGUCACAACCGUGUCCUACCAUAAGUUAGGUAGGUGUUCGGUUACUCUCGCAGCGGGUUAAAGCGGGUUACUUCUUCUACCUGGCUUGUGUUUUUUCUGCGGCCUCGGCGCCGCGCUGCGUUUCCCGCUCUCUGCUCGCAAUCAGUCUCGUUAGUCCUUCCCCCGUCCCGGCCUUCCCCACUCAACUCGCUCGUCUCCCAUUCGCAUGUGCCCUUUCUUUUUUGGUAUGUUCUCCCCCCCCCCCCUCCCCUACCACUUUUUCGUGCCCCCCCCUUUUUUGCGUUAAGGAUGCAAGCGCUCUGAGUGCUUGUGUCAAGAAAGCUGGCGCUUCGUUGCUUCAAUCCUCUGAGCCAUGCAAAUAAUUGUGUUCCUGACUGAUGCCGCAUGCAUUUUUCAUUCAGGGAGCUUCACCGUGUGAGCAAUGGGGCCCAAAAAAAAAAAAAAGUUCCUCUCUCGCUGCCGCACUGUACGUCGCCCCUCCCCACACCCACGGCCUUCACCUCAUCCCUCCCCGCGAACGGGUUCCAGCUUCUAUCAUUGAAAUCGAUGGAAUUGAUUCUCUAGGGGUUAAUGGAUUUUGCCUCCAAGGUGAGGGAGAUGCACUUUAAUCACGGCAGAUCUUAAAUAUUUUAUCAGGGAGAGCCAAAGAUUGGGUGCUGGCAGCGCGGAGGAGGGAGGGACGGGGGAGCCGGGGAUCACAGUGCGUCGCAGCACUCCGGUCCAACAAUGGGCCACUUGUUGCUCACGUCAGAGGAAAAAGCAGCAAAAUGGCUUGAGGAGAGGAUAGAAGGACAACGGUACAGGUCAGUGACCAGGUACGGAGAAGGUACGCACGUCAGCGCUCAGGUCGCUGUAAAUAUAAAUAUUUAGAAAUCUUCUGCAAAAAGCCUUAAAAAGCUUUCGGAGAUAUUAUUUGAAAUCAUUCACAUCCUGCUCCGGUAACUACAAAGCAUGUACAUGUCUAGAAUAGAAAAGAGAAUUAUUUGGAUUUAAUGAUAUAAAAUAAGCCCUGCCAUAAUGUUCUUGAGUUAAUUAUACCACUUAGCUCAUCGAAAUGAGAAUAAUUAUGUUAGGUUUACAAUCCUCUAGCAGCAAUUCUGACUAGAGCGUAAAUAUGAGCCAAAACCAGUUUAGACUUUAACAUACGUCCUAACAUAACCUUUUUAUUCCCGAAUAACUUGAUUCACCUGUCGUCUGCAGCCACUUUUAAUUGCUUCUCUGGGCAGAAGUUGUUUACAGAUUUGUUUUUUAGCAACACGGCAACAGUUUUGGAUCACAGGAGUUACUGCGUGUCAUUAAAUCUGAAUAUGACGCAUCGUUAUGAAAAGCAAUUGUAUCUUAAUUGACAGUAAUUCGCUAGCACGAUCAUAAUUACUUCACUUUCUUCUUCAGCAGACGAUUUGACGCUCCACUGCGCGCACACAGCAACAUCAGAGACACACGUUAAAUUAACAAAUGUUCUGAUCGCACAGAGGAAAUGAAACACCAGGCCAUGUUCAAAAUGCAUUACUCACCGGCUCAAAUUAUUCGGGGGUUUAAAAAAAGAUGCUCGUUGUGAAGAAUUAAGAUGCAACCAGAAAAUGCAUAUUAACGCUCUUGCCUUUUGCUGCCAAAGAGCUCAUAUUUAAGUUCCCUAAUGGCACAAUAUAAUUAUAUUGCAGGAGCAACAACGUUGCCUACUACCAACAUUUCACAAGAGACCCCACACUUAUGCAGCAUAGAUGUAAUUUAUUAAUUACAUUUGCUGUUCUGUAGUAAUAAUGCUGUUUCCUCUUUCACAAAAACACAAAUCAUUUUAACCUGGGUUAAAUUAAAGAAAACAAAUAGCACUCCCGCCUUGGACAGGUACCCUCAAGGCCUAAUUUACUCUGCUGCAGCAUCCGGAGCUCUGCAUUACCCUUCGACUUGAUUAAGAGUAUUGUGAGGCCACAUAGAUGCAGUUUAAAAUGUGCGAAGAUGUAGGCUGCACUGAGCCUGUUGCCCCAGUAGGAGAAGGCUGAGCCAAAAGCGAGGACACACAUCAGUGAGAGCGAGUUAAAGCUCAUCGCUGAUUACUGCUGGUGGCAAUUCAUUUGAUUGUGGUAAAUAGCAUUAAAAGUUUAAUGGGCAAUAAAGCAAUGGUUAUAUGACAACCAUAGGGAGUCAACCAAACUCAUUAGUGCUCAGUCUUUGAAUUUUUAUGUAAAGAAAAUCCCCUUUUGCGUUUUUAUUCUGUGCAGACUCUUAAGCAGCUGCCUUCUAAGAAAGCUGUGGCGAAUGAAAAGACAACUUUACUUUGAAUCCGGCCCAUGCCAUGCAGUGGGGCCCACCUUCUUAAAAGGCAGUCGCUUAUAUGUUUGCACUGUGGUUCCAAAUUCUCUUUGACAUCUAUUUGUGAAGAGUAAUGGCUGAGUGCUAGCUCGGGUAUUUAUACUCCCACGGAGUCACAGCAGCCCAGACCUUCUUAUUUUCUCAUCUCUCCUUCCUGCAGGAAACGCCAGAAGGUCAUGCAUGCUUGUAAGGACAGUUUUUAUAUGGAAAGCCUGGAGAUGACCAAUAAGACAUGAGCUUCUAGGGUCACUUUAGAAUCUGGACAUGAUUGUAAUAUACCAGCUUGGUAAUUGGUAAUUGGCAUUUACCAGCCUGCUGGGUGAAGCUUCUCCAUCUAAUGAAUUGGGUCAAUUGGAGAAUUAAUGUCACAUUUAUCCUGAAUUGAUCUCUAUCUACAAUAUUAUUCAGAUAAUCUGCAAAACUAUAAUUCAAAUUCUUAAAACCACACAUUUUGAUUCAAUUAAGUUAAGGAAAAACAUUUUUGUUGUAAAUAUUCAUCAAACAUUAGAGCAGUGGUACACAAACCUGACAGAGACCUGCAACCACCUAAAUGCACCUUUCAGGUUUAAAUCAGGAUGAUAAUUAGCACUACCUGGCUUUCCGUUAUCUCCCGCGGUCGACCGUGCAUGUGUGUUGACUCAACGUGAUCGAUCUCCCGGCACUGCUUUGGUGAUCGACCUACUUCGGUCCUAAAACAACAAAGUUAGUGAUCGACAAAAGAAAUCGCUCACUAAAUCAUAAAUGACGCACCAUUUUACCAUAACAUUUUAUUAUUCUAUGUGUUUACGUAACCAUUUACACCAUUUAAAACAACCAACCAUUUGUUUCUAAAGUAGUUUUAAGUGACAAAUUCAACAACUGAUGAUCAUUAAUUAAAGAUUGCUGCAGUGUUUCUACAUUUGGAAUUGCUGUGGCGAGUAUUUUUGUCUAUUAUUUACUUUUUUUGUAUCUUCAAUUUCCAUAUGAUUCCUCACUGAAACCGUUUUAUAAAAUAGUUUGUCAUGAAUAUUAAACUGAAUGAUGUUAGCAAUAGAGACCUGUACAAUAUUUUUUCAAUUAGAGUUUAAUUACAGACUUAAUGUUGCAUUUUUUAUUGUGUUAUUUACUUUAAUAAGUACGCCAUUUUUCAUGAGGCUGUCCUAUUCACCAAGGACAUAAUUGGAUGCAGGUUUGGUGAAUCAGAUGUUAAUGAAUAUGCGCUGCAGCGUAAACGCAUAUCAGGGUCUUUGAGGUUAAUUUUGAUUGGUUUUGAUUGGAGUUGUAUGAUUACAUGUCAAAAGCAGCAACUAGCAAUGCUGCUGGUUGUUUCCAUUGUAGUGAGUCCCAGUAAUCCACAUGCGGUCAGUUGUGUUGACAAAUUGUUGCUAAACCUGUGUUUGAUGUUGUGAGAAUUAUGAUUGUAUUCAUUCGUUGGAAAGAAAAUAAUGAUGCAUUUCCAUGAAUAUUCCCUGAUUUGAAAACUAUUUACAAAACCCUUCACAAAUCCAACCUGCUGUAAUAAGAACAUGGACUGAGUCAAGAACUAUGUGACUCUUUCUAUGACGAACAUGUAACUUCCACCAUUGUGGAAAACGUCCUUCAGAAUGCCACACUUUGAUUCACAUGCAGUCUGACUGUUGACGUAUUGCGUGGUUGGUUUAACAGUAGCAUCAUCUGAGCAGGGAGGAGUGUGUGGACGGGCGACCGGGUGCAGCUGGUGCUCCAAGAGCAGUUCAGCUGUUUGCUGUGCGAUUGUCUUGUGCUAUCUAAUUUGCAGUGUCACACACACACACACACACACACACACACACAAUACACUUCUUAUGUGGUGCCUACAGGGUUUCCAAAGGAGAAAUCCAUGGGGAGCUUAUUUGUCAGAGACAGAGGACGCGGACCUAGCAACAUCACUGAUUAGGGACAAAUGAAUAAGUGACUUCUUGUUCUGUUUUUAGGCACAUGGAUUAUUUACUGAAAAUGUUUCUCAAUUUUGGGUCACAGGGUGAUCCUUGGGCUCAUACUUCUGGUCUUGGUUGUUUGCAUACUGGUACUCGACCUUGCUAUUGAGAUCAUCCAAAACACUGCAACCCAUCUGCAAUCAGAAUCAUUAGCAAUCCCAAUUCAAUCCAUUUUCUGCAGUGUGAGGGGCCGCGCCGCACAAGGAAUUACCGGCUGUAUCCUCACGUUGCCCAGCAGGGCCGAGCCUGCAUGCUGCCAGUCUGUAAUUACCCGCCAGUGGCCCGAACUAAUCUGGAUCGCGCCGCGUAAUGCUUUCGUGAGCUAGCUGCAAUGAGAGGCUCUAAGAACUGUGUGUGUGUGUGUGUGUGUGUGUGUGUGUGUGUGCACGCGCGCCUGCUUUCAUCCUCUGACGGCAGACACACACACACAGCUGUCAGAAGGCCAGAUCAGGGGGGGCUACUCCGCUCAGCUGUCUCCGUGCCCCGCCCUCAGCACCAAGCCGGCGCCAGCUGAGGGUUGGCGGGUCCCGCCGCGGAAGAGGUGCCGUGCAUUUAAAGACGUUGCUUUUAAAGGAAAAACGCAUAUGGGAAUGCAGCAAAAAUGGAGUUUGUUGACAGGGUUUGAAUUGCUGUGUGUGUAUUUGUUUGCUUUUGGGUGACGUCCUGCCGGCCAGCUGUGUGAGCCGCUCACACCGCAGCACCCUUGUGCCGCAAAUGGAGGGUGACGUGCCGUGUGAACAAUCAACCCAUGUUUGCGCCUAUGAUACCAUUCCUCCCCCCUUUUGUCCUCGCCUCUCUCCUUGCUCUGCAGGUUGCGUGACCUUUUCAAAACUCAUCCCUCUGUUGAUCCCUUCGCACAGCUCCGUUACGCGCAGCGGUGCUGCCUGCUUGACUCGGAAAGACUGAACUGUUUUUUCAACCCUGGUUGGUCAAAUUUCCUAAAUCAAAAAAAGCCAUCCAAAAAGGUCGUUGGGUGGAGAGCAACUUUCUGAUUAAAAGCAUUGCUACACUGUUUUAUUUGAAAACUUGGUUUUUGGUAGCAGCUUGAUUUAUGUUGGAGACAUCUCACAACAUAAAGAAUCCACCCCGUUUAUGGUUUCAUGCUAUGGGUACUUAACAAGUAUAAGGCGUGAGACUGUAAGACCAAAUUAAAUGUGCGGAUCAUACAGAUGGUCAUUUUAAACCGCCUGUAAUUAGCUCAGUUGGAUCAACAACAAGCAUGGCGUUAACUAAGUCACAGCAAAACACAGAAUUCCUUCUGCCAGACUAAUGGGUAAUGUUGCUGUUAACACCUACAGCCUGCCAGCUCAUCUCAGUGUUAUCACCUUCCCAGAUAGACCUGUGAAGUAGAACUCAAGUGGGAGUCAUGAAAAUGCAUUAUUAUGCAUCUCACUGCGUGUGGUGUGUGUUCGACUUGGAUCGGCUUGUAAGUGCCCCAGCCAUGAAGCCAUUACAUUUCGAGUUUAUAUUGAAUAUAUUCUCAAAGUUGUUAUCUCCCUGCCUGUCACUUAUAGUCGUAUUACGACGGCUGUAAUACUUCGUCGGUUGUAUUCGAGAAUGAAGCAACACCUCUCGCACUUGUCGAUUGGCUUUUCGUGUUCAUUGAUUGAUUCUUUAGUAAAGAAAAUGGUUGAAAUAAAAGCCAGUCAACACCUGGCUGUGCAGAGCGUUGUGUAAUGGCGGGAGGUGAGAUCAGUAUCGACCUUUCCUGAUGAACAUAGUGUUCCAUAUAGAAGCACAACCGUGAUGACAAAGAAGGAUCCAGAGAAUCGGCCUGCAGCCUCAGUGGGAGCGAUGCGAGGAUGUUGGCUCAGCGUUGUUCCUCUGGCAGCCGAGCCAUUCAGGCGCAUAGUAGAAACAGAUAAUCUAUAUAUUUCCUGUACUUUCAGCGUGGAAAGUCCUCGCCGGGAGAUUGAGUGCCCCGAGCCAUUUCGUUUUCUGCUGUGUCGGAGCCUCUGCUAGCAAAGUCCUUCUCUUUCUUCUAACAUAGUCCUUCUGUUUCUUCUAGCAUGGUCCUUCUUUCUUCUAGCCUGGUCCUUCUUUCUUCUAGCAUAGUCCUUCUGUU